UGAAUACGAGACGCUAAGGCGUCGAAGUAGUGUAUGUCAUACUUCCAAGAAAAGCUUGCACUGUCAUAGAUAAAAAACGCCUGUACCAUAACCGACACAGGUGGGUAGGUAGAGUAUACUAAGGGGCGCGAGAUAACUCUCUCUAAGGAACUCGGCAAAAUAACUCCGUAACUUCGGGAGAAGGAGUGCCUUAUUCUUAAGGUUGCAAUAACAAGAUCCAAGCAACUGUUUAUCAAAAACACAGGUCUCCGCUAAGUCGUAAGACGAUGUAUGGGGGCUGACGCCUGCCCAGUGCCAGAAGGUUAAAGAAGCUGGUUAGCAUUUGCGAAGCUAGUAACUGAAGCCCUGGUGAACGGCGGCCGUAACGAUAACGGUCCUAAGGUAGCGAAAUUCCUUGUCGGGUAAGUUCCGACCCGCACGAAAGGCGUAAUGAUUUGGAUACUGUCUCGGAGAGGGGCUCGGUGAAAUAGACUUGUCUGUGAAGAUGCGGACUACCUGCACCAGGACAGAAAGACCCUAUGAAGCUUUACUGUAACUUGAAAUUGAAAUUGGACUUUAUUCGCGCAGUAUAGGUGGGAGGCGUUGAUUAUAAUCUUGCGGGAUUAUUGGAGCCAUUAGUGAGAUACCACUCUUGUAAUGUUAGAUUUCUAACUUUGAAUCAUUAUCUGGUCAAAGAGCAGUUUCAGGCGGGCAGUUUGACUGGGGCGGUCGCCUCCUAAACGGUAACGGAGGCGUACAAAGGUUUCCUCUGAACGGUUAGAAAUCGUAUCUAGAGUGUAAAGGCAUAAGGAAGCUUGACUGUGAGACCUACAAGUCGAGCAGGGACGAAAGUCGGUCUUAGUGAUCUGACGGUACUGAGUGGAAAGGCCGUCACUCAACGGAUAAAAGUUACUCUAAGGAUAACAGGCUAAUCUCCCCCAAGAGUUCACAUCGACGGGGAGGUUUGGCACCUCGAUGUCGGCUCAUCGCAUCCUGGGGCGGUAGUACGUCCCAAGGGUUGGGCUGUUCGCCCAUGAAAGCGGUACGCGAGCUGGGUUCAGAACGUCGUGAGACAGUUCGGUCCAUAUCCGGUGUAGGCGUUAGAAUAUUGAGAGGAGCCUUCUUUAGUACGAGAGGACCGAGAAGGACAUACCUCUGGUGUACCAGUUAUCGUGCCAACGGUAAACGCUGGGUAGCUAUGUAUGGAGUGGAUAACCGCUGAAAGCAUCUAAGUGGGAAGCCCACCUCAAGAUAAGUAUUCUCAU
Molecule: ribosomal RNA, 1244 nt
Filed under: metagenome
Description: bacterial LSU rRNA
Rfam family: Bacterial large subunit ribosomal RNA
Source: RNAcentral